AACGAACGCUGGCGGCAUGCCUAACACAUGCAAGUCGAACGAGACCUUCGGGUCUAGUGGCGCACGGGUGCGUAACGCGUGGGAACCUGCCCUUAGGUUCGGAAUAACUCCCCGAAAGGGGUGCUAAUACCGGAUAAUGUCUUCGGACCAAAGAUUUAUCGCCUUUGGAUGGGCCCGCGUUGGAUUAGCUAGUUGGUAGGGUAAAAGCCUACCAAGGCGACGAUCCAUAGCUGGACUGAGAGGAUGAUCAGCCACACUGGGACUGAGACACGGCCCAGACUCCUACGGGAGGCAGCAGUGGGGAAUAUUGGACAAUGGGCGAAAGCCUGAUCCAGCAAUGCCGCGUGAGUGAUGAAGGCCUUAGGGUUGUAAAGCUCUUUUACCCGGGAUGAUAAUGACAGUACCGGGAGAAUAAGCACCGGCUAACUCCGU
This 432-nucleotide ribosomal RNA is filed under the name uncultured bacterium. RNAcentral describes it as "partial 16S ribosomal RNA". It matches the Rfam family "Bacterial small subunit ribosomal RNA", at positions 29 to 506 of the family's 1533-position model. The record is from RNAcentral.